This is a non-coding RNA of Coturnix japonica (Japanese quail), 855 nucleotides long. NCBI's taxonomy places the organism in Eukaryota, Metazoa, Chordata, Aves, Galliformes, Phasianidae. The record is from RefSeq and is a predicted model, not a curated record.
UGUCCCAGAUGCACUUCACAUCCAAAGGGUCAGUUGUUGCUCCUGUAAUGAGAAGUUUUGCCUUUUCCCGUAACCUCAAUUGGGCAGGGUGCCUGUGAACAGCACAGAAUACAAGGAAAGGAAGCAGCCCAAGUGUUAGGGGUGUGGGAGCUGAUUGAACAUUUUAGACAUGAGAGCAGAGUAAGAGACAUAUCCCUCAGUGCCAGGGUUAUCCGUGUAACCCGAAGACUCUUUCUUAUUUAAAAAGCUAUUGCUUGUGAUCUUUUCCAAAGAGGAAAUCAAUAAAUGUCCACGAAAGUUGCUCUUUUGGUCGAAAUGAUAAAUGAACAUCGAAGUGCUAUAAAUUGGUAGCAACCAGUGUAGCGAUCCUGGAAUUCAGUAAGAAAGCCAGUAAGAGCAAAGCGAUGCUGAUUUCUCACCAACUCUGCAACCGUUGCUGACAUUCCUGGAAAUUGCCCAAAUAUUUGGUAUGGAACUUCUAAAAUUGUUUUUCUUUGCUUUGUGUUUCCUUUGAACUAAACUUAAAAAAACAAAAACAACCAAAGUCCUCUGGUACUGUCCUUGCCUAGCUGAUAUCUCCCAUGGCCAUUGCCAGGUUCACAAAUCUACUGCCCAGCACCUGCCAAUAGCCCUGGUCCCAUCUGCAUAGCAAGCUGUCUGUCAUACAGAAGCAGGCACCUUCUAGGAUAGAGUUAGGAAUAGACUGUUGCUCCAUGGAACCCAAAGGCUGUGCUUCCAGCAAAGGCAAGAGAAACCACUUCAUUUUCCUGUGUGCCACUAACCAAUGAAAUGAGCACAAACUCUUGUGUUUCCUUGGGUAUAAUUCCUGUGGGUUGCAAUAACAUAACUGACUGA